GAUGAACGCUGGCGGCGUGCCUAAUACAUGCAAGUCGAGCGAACGGACGAGAAGCUUGCGUCUCUGAUGUUAGCGGCGGACGGGUGAGUAACACGUGGAUAACCUACCUAUAAGACUGGGAUAACUUCGGGAAACCGGAGCUAAUACCGGAUAAUAUUUUGAACCGCAUUGUUCAAGAGUGAAAGACGGUCUUUCUGUCACUUAUAGAUGGAUCCGCGCUGCAUUAGCUAGUUGGUAAGGUAACGGCUUACCAAGGCAACGAUGCAUAGCCGACCUGAGAGGGUGAUCGGCCACACUGGCACUGAGACACGGCCGAGACUCCUACGGGAGGCAGCAGUAGGGAAUCUUCCGCAAGGGGCGAGAGCCUGACGGAGCAACGCCGCGUGAGUGAUGAAGGUCUUCGGAUCGUAAAACUAUGUUAUUAGGGAAGAACAUAUGUGUAAGUAACUGUGCACAUAUUGACGGUACCUAAUCAGAAAGCCACGGCUAACUACGUG
RNAcentral lists this ribosomal RNA (497 nucleotides) under uncultured bacterium. Its description in RNAcentral is "partial 16S ribosomal RNA". It matches the Rfam family "Bacterial small subunit ribosomal RNA", at positions 28 to 507 of the family's 1533-position model. The record is from RNAcentral.